RNAcentral lists this ribosomal RNA (323 nucleotides) under uncultured beta proteobacterium. RNAcentral's name for it is "bacterial SSU rRNA". It matches the Rfam family "Bacterial small subunit ribosomal RNA", at positions 185 to 490 of the family's 1533-position model. The record is from RNAcentral. Lineage: Bacteria; Pseudomonadati; Pseudomonadota; Betaproteobacteria.
GGAUAAUCCCUGAGGAGAAAAGCAGGGGCUCUUAGACCUUGUGCUCUUGGAGCGGCCGAUGCCUGAUUAGCUAGUUGGUGGGGUAAAUGCCUACCAAGGCUUCGAUCAGUAGUUGGUCUGAGAGGACGACCAGCCACACUGGGACUGAGACACGGCCCAGACUCCUACGGGAGGCAGCAGUGGGGAAUUUUGGACAAUGGGGGCAACCCUGAUCCAGCCAUGCCGCGUGAGUGAAGAAGGCCUUCGGGUUGUAAAGCUCUUUCAGUCGGGAAGAAAAGGUUACGGUUAAUACCUGUAACUCAUGACGGUACCGACAGAAGAAG